Molecule: ribosomal RNA, 698 nt
Filed under: Pseudomonadota bacterium
Lineage: Bacteria; Pseudomonadati; Pseudomonadota
Description: bacterial SSU rRNA
Rfam family: Bacterial small subunit ribosomal RNA
Source: RNAcentral
AUUGAACGCCUGGCGGAAUGCUUUAACACAUGCAAGUCGAACGGUAGAGGGGGCAACCCCUUGAGAGUGGCGAACGGGUGAGUAAUAUAUCGGAACGUGCCCAGUCGUGGGGGAUAACGUAGCGAAAGUUACGCUAAUACCGCAUACGAUCUAAGGAUGAAAGCGGGGGAUCGCAAGACCUCGCGCGACUGGAGCGGCCGAUAUCAGAUUAGGUAGUUGGUAGGGUAAAGGCCUACCAAGCCAACGAUCUGUAGCUGGUCUGAGAGGACGACCAGCCACACUGGAACUGAGACACGGUCCAGACUCCUACGGGAGGCAGCAGUGGGGAAUUUUGGACAAUGGGCGAAAGCCUGAUCCAGCCAUUCCGCGUGCAGGAUGAAGGCCCUCGGGUUGUAAACUGCUUUUGUACAGAACGAAAAGGUUUCUAUUAAUACUAGGAGCUCAUGACGGUACUGUAAGAAUAAGCACCGGCUAACUACGUGCCAGCAGCCGCGGUAAUACGUAGGGUGCAAGCGUUAAUCGGAAUUACUGGGCGUAAAGCGUGCGCAGGCGGUUAUAUAAGUCAGAUGUGAAAUCCCCGGGCUCAACCUGGGAACUGCAUUUGAGACUGUAUAGCUAGAGUACGGUAGAGGGGGAUGGAAUUCCGCGUGUAGCAGUGAAAUGCGUAGAUAUGCGGAGGAACACCGAUGGCGAAGGCA